Molecule: transfer RNA, 74 nt
Filed under: compost metagenome
Description: tRNA-Ala
Rfam family: tRNA
About the family: Transfer RNA (tRNA) molecules are approximately 80 nucleotides in length. Their secondary structure includes four short double-helical elements and three loops (D, anti-codon, and T loops).
Source: RNAcentral
GGGGCUGUAGCUCAGUUGGUAGAGCGCUUCAAUGGCAUUGAAGAGGUCAGGAGUUCGAUUCUCCUCAGCUCCAC